Long non-coding RNA from Arachis duranensis, 2894 nucleotides. RefSeq lists it as uncharacterized. Lineage: Eukaryota; Viridiplantae; Streptophyta; Magnoliopsida; Fabales; Fabaceae. The transcript has 14 exons. The record is from RefSeq and is a predicted model, not a curated record.
CCCCGCGCCUCCACACCCUCCCCUCUAAAUGCUCGAUCGGCGGUGCUUCUCAGCCUUGCACCGCCGUCGCACCUUGUGCCGCCGCUGCACCGAACCUCCAUUGCACUGAACUUUCAUCGCCCCGUCACACCCCUUCCCGGCUCUUCUAUGUGUGUUGCCCGCGCGUUCCCUUUCGAACCCUUAUUUGCAUUUCUCUGCCACCGUCUUCGUCGCCAUCGUCUACCUUCGCGAUUUUAUAAAACUACAUCACUGAUCGCUCAUUCAGCGGCACUAACCAUAACCAAUGGCGUCCGCCGAGCAGCCAUUGAAGAAGCGAAAGCACGACACUCUCCCGGAAUCCUCACUACCACACCACCGCCGCUAGCACCGCCGCCACAAUCUUCUCAAACCCUAGCUCGCCCGCCUACUCCUCCUCCUCCACCUCUGUCACAGGAUGAGGUCGUCACCAAGCAGAGGAACAAAGAUGAGGUUCGAACCAUGUUUGAGAGCUACCGUCGCAUCAAGCUCUUCUUGUCAAAGAAGGAAGGUGAUUUCAUCCAUGACCUUGAACAGAGCUUCUUCGCUCUCGUCAAUGCUUGUAGAGGUCUGUGAACUGGAUUUAAUAUUCAACUUCCAUAAGGGAUCAAACAAUCUUAUUGCAAGCUUGCCAGGGGAUUUAGCAAAUUGUUCCAAAUUGUCCAAGCUAGAUAUGAAGGAAACAAGUUAACAGAGAUAUCUGAAAAUCUCUUUUCAUCAUGGACCAUGCUUACUGAAUUCAAUGCAUCAAAAAACUUGUUGAAUGGCAUACCAGACAGCAUUGGAGGUCUUUCACGUCUAAUUCGUCUUGAUCUCCACCAGAACAGUGUGCUCUUUGAACAAGGGGUCAAUGGUUUUCUGUUUCUCCUUUCUUCAUCUUGUCUUAAAGCUAGCGUGUCUGUGUUGUGCAGGAAUCUCAUCAAUCCCUUCAUCAAUCAUGGGUUGUCAUUCACUUGCCGAGAUUUAUUUGGGGUCAAAAUUCUAACCUAUUAAUAUGCAAGUCUUUAUAUUAUUAAAAGCAUGCUGAGAACUUGGUUUUCUUCUGGUCAAAACUUCUGUGUAUAAUAAUCUUAUAAUAAUAAUAAUAAUAAGAUGCUCUGCCGUGUUGUUGUUGUUAUUGUUGUUGUUGUUGUUGUUGUUGUUGUUGUUGUUGUUAUUUAACAUAUAAGAUGCUCUGCUGUGAUGUUCACAUUCAGUUGCUGGUACCCACUCUUCAUUACUUCCCUAGCUUGCUGUUUUGUUUGUCCUUAUUUUUUCAUUAAAGUUUGAUGGUUCCAUUCAAGAUGGAUUCUAGUGGCCCAUGGGGCUUUGCUAGAGCUAAUGAAGGGAACCCAAGAGUCAGAUCCAAGUUUAUUGCACCAUGUUAUUAUAUGAACAAGUAAGAGGAAGUUUUAGAAAAGGAUACAAGCCACCAAGUUGUACAGAGGAAGAAGACAUAAAUGUAGAUGAGUUCAAGGUCAUUCAGGGCCAAUUUAUGCAGCCUCUUGGAGAGUUUAUUCUUUCUUCCUCAGCAGACUCAACUAUGUGUGCAAUGGCAUGCCAACUGCAACUACAUUGCAACUGGUUCUGAAAACGCUGUCGCCGGUGGCUUCUCUGGAAAAUGAUUCUCUGAAAUCGGCAAUUUUCAGCAGGCCAACAGCUGCUACCUCCAAGGCCGCAGCUAAGAGAGCUGCCGUCGAUCUCACCGGUGCUUCUUCGCCUCUCAGCCACAGGCCUCUGAGCAGCAUUGCCGACCUCAAGGCCAUGGCGUCCGCAGGCGUCGACGAUCUCCGGCGCCAAAUUGAUCAUUCUCACUCCGAGAUCCUCAAGGAUCUUGAAGCUUCUCAUUCGCGUCUGCAUAAGCGCUUGAAGAUGCAGACUCAAGCAUGCCACCAAGUGAUGGAUGAAGCAGAAAAGGAGUACAAGAAGUUUUCCAAACGAAUCACUGAAAGCCGUGAGGCAAUGAAGGUUAUUUGAAGCUUGGCAUAGUAAAAUACCUCUACUUGUUGAAGCUGUAAAGUCCUUGCUAGAGGAGCCGAGUUUAGGUGUUCGGAAAGCACUUUCUGAGUUAAUUAUGGUUAUGGCUUCACAUUGUUACUUGGUUGGUUCAUCUGGAGAGUUGUUCAUUGAGUAUCUUGUACGGCACUGUGCUUUAACUGACAAUAAUCGCGGUGAUCUUGACAUCCUGAAUAAGAGAGUGGAGCUGUCUACAAGAGAUCAACAUUUCCUGUUUUCAAAGCACAUGGGUUGGCCCAAGCAUCAAUAGCUGAUUGUGUAUCAGAAACAUUUUCUACUAUUCAAACAGUAUGAUCUUUUAGUGGUGAAAAUCGGCAGAUGUUUACAUUUGCUAAACAGGUUCUGUCUUUCCAGUCAAGUGGGAUAAAGCUUGGUACUUUCAAAUCAUUUAAUGAAUCUAUGACCAGGGUUGCUAUUUAUAUCUCUUUGAUUUUAUUAUAUUGUCUUGGAGGGAACAAAGUUAAGGUGGUUCAAGGACUGGUUAAUACCUUUGGGGAUCUCCGAGGAGCUUUUACGGCCGUUGACAAGAUCAACUCUGUUUUAUCUCGAGUUUAAGUUGAUGAUUCUCUUGCCUAUGGCUUAGAAAGAGAACUAAGGCAACAGAAAGCAGUGGAUGAUGAGAAAUAUAAAUUGUUCUUCUCUAAUAGUUCAACUGAGAAAAACCAAAUGCAUUACAUGUCGGCACUAAAAACAUCUAGCAAUUUGUUUAGCUUGGCUUGGUUUGGCAAAUUUACACGCUAAGAGAUUUCUUAUUUCAUAAGAUUUAACUACAUGCUCUUUUAAUUAAAUAUUUAUUUGUGAUGAAUUAUAGUUGAUGUAUCAACACACUUUGAUGUAUGGUUGUUAUUUAAUAUUAUAGUUGAUGUAUUAAUAUACUUUGUUUA